This 24-nucleotide microRNA is filed under the name Heliconius melpomene (postman butterfly). RNAcentral describes it as "Hme-Mir-3-P26_5p* (star (passenger))". The record is from RNAcentral. Lineage: Eukaryota; Metazoa; Arthropoda; Insecta; Lepidoptera; Nymphalidae.
AGCUGUCACAUGAACAGUAUGACA